This 466-nucleotide ribosomal RNA is filed under the name uncultured bacterium. RNAcentral describes it as "SSU rRNA". It matches the Rfam family "Bacterial small subunit ribosomal RNA", at positions 26 to 518 of the family's 1533-position model. The record is from RNAcentral.
AGGAUUAACGCUGGCGGCGUGCCUAACACAUGCAAGUCGAACGAGGGGGGCAACCCCCGAGUGGCAGACGGGUGAGUAACGCGUGGUCAACCUACCCUAGAGUGGGGAAUAACUAGCCGAAAGGUUAGCUAAUACCGCAUGAUACGUUUUGGGACAUCCCAGGACGUUGAAAGGAGCAAUCCGCUCGAGGACGGGACCGCGUCCGAUUAGCUAGUUGGUGAGGUAACGGCCCACCAAGGCUCCGAUCGGUAGCUGGUUUGAGAGAGCGACCAGCCACACUGGGACUGAGAAACGGCCCAGACUCCUACGGGAGGCAGCAGUGAGGAAUUUUCCGCAAUGGGCGAAAGCCUGACGGAGCGACGCCGCGUGUGGGAAGAAGGCCUUCGGGUCGUAAACCACUGUCGAAGGGACGUAUACUGAAGGUACCCUUGGAGGAAGCCCCGGCUAACUACGUGCCAGCAGCCGC